This 27-nucleotide non-coding RNA is filed under the name Cricetulus griseus (Chinese hamster). Lineage: Eukaryota; Metazoa; Chordata; Mammalia; Rodentia; Cricetidae. The record is from RNAcentral.
GCUUUCAGUUUAGCUUUGAGCUGCAGC